UGAACGCUGGCGGUAUGCUUAACACAUGCAAGUCGAACGGAAACGAUACUAGCUUGCUAGUAGGCGUCGAGUGGCGGACGGGUGAGUAACGCGUAGGAAUCUGCCUGAUAGUGGGGGAUAGCCCGAAGAAAUUCGGAUUAAUACCGCAUAAUCUAUUCGUAGUAAAGUGGGGGACUUUCGAGCCUCACGCUAUCAGAUGAGCCUGCGUAAGAUUAGCUUGUUGGUAGGGUAAAAGCCUACCAAGGCGACGAUCUUUAGCUGGUCUGAGAGGAUGAUCAGCCACAUCGGGACUGAGACACGGCCCGAACUCCUACGGGAGGCAGCAGUGGGGAAUAUUGGACAAUGGGGGCAACCCUGAUCCAGCAAUACCGCGUGUGUGAAGAAGGCCUGAGGGUUGUAAAGCACUUUCAAUUGUGAAGAAAAGUUAGCGGUUAAUAACUGUUAGCCUUGACGUUAACUUUAGAAGAAGCACCGGCUAACUCCGUGCCAGCAGCCGCGGUAAUACGGAGGGUGCAAGCGUUAAUCGGAAUUACUGGGCGUAAAGCGUGCGUAGGCGGUUUAUUAAGUCAGAUGUGAAAGCCCCGGGCUUAACCUGGGAACUGCAUUUGAAACUGGUCAACUAGAGUAUGGUAGAGGAAAGUGGAAUUUCUGGUGUAGCGGUGAAAUGCGUAGAUAUCAGAAGGAACAUCAAUGGCGAAGGCAGCUUUCUGGACCAAUACUGACGCUGAGGUACGAAAGCGUGGGUAGCAAACAGGAUUAGAUACCCCUGGUAGUCCACGCCGUAAACGAUGAUAACUAGCCGUUGGGGGGAUUUACCCUUUAGUGGCGAAGCUAACGCGUUAAGUUAUCCGCCUGGGGAGUACGGCCGCAAGGUUAAAACUCAAAGGAAUUGACGGGGACCCGCACAAGCGGUGGAGCAUGUGGUUUAAUUCGAUGCAACGCGAAGAACCUUACCUGGUCUUGACAUCCUGCGAACUUUCUAGAAAUAGAUUGGUGCCUUCGGGAACGCAGUGACAGGUGCUGCAUGGCUGUCGUCAGCUCGUGUCGUGAGAUGUUGGGUUAAGUCCCGUAACGAGCGCAACCCCUAUCCUUAUUUGCCAGCACAUCAUGGUGGGAACUAUAAGGAGACUGCCGGUGAUAAACCGGAGGAAGGCGGGGACGACGUCAAGUCAUCAUGGCCCUUACGACCAGGGCUACACACGUGCUACAAUGGGAAGGACAAAGAGCCGCGAAGCCGCGAGGUGUAGCUAAUCUCAUAAACCUUUUCGUAGUCCGGAUUGGAGUCUGCAACUCGACUCCAUGAAGUCGGAAUCGCUAGUAAUCGUAGAUCAGAAUGCUACGGUGAAUACGUUCCCGGGUCUUGUACACACCGCCC
Molecule: ribosomal RNA, 1375 nt
Filed under: uncultured bacterium
Lineage: Bacteria
Description: 16S ribosomal RNA
Rfam family: Bacterial small subunit ribosomal RNA
Source: RNAcentral